Molecule: ribosomal RNA, 248 nt
Filed under: uncultured bacterium
Lineage: Bacteria
Description: partial 16S ribosomal RNA
Rfam family: Bacterial small subunit ribosomal RNA
Source: RNAcentral
AUACGUAGGUUGCAAGCGUUGUCCGGAUUUACUGGGUGUAAAGGGCGUGUAGGCGGAGAUGCAAGUUGGGAGUGAAAUCUAUGGGCUUAACCCAUAAACUGCCUCUCAAAACUGUAUCCCUUGAGUAUCGGAGAGGCAAGCGGAAUUCCUAGUGUAGCGGUGAAAUGCGUAGAUAUUAGGAAGAACACCAGUGGCGAAGGCGCUUCUCUGGACUGUAACUGACGCUGAGGCUCGAAAGCGUGGGGAGC